AUGCUCCAGCCAACUCUGGGCAAUAAUCCAGCCUACACCGGGGAGGCUUCCACGGCGGCAGCCCAUCCGACUGGACCGGUACGGGAGUGCACUAUUUGCAAAAUGCCCACAGCAGGGCUCUGGACCGCGACGACUGUGCAAGGUACUACACGGGUGGGAACCCCGCUGCCCCUGUGCGACGCUUGCCACAGCAAAAUCUUCAGCUGGGACAGGCCUCUACAGCAUCUGCACCAAUAUCUUGCCACCACAGCUGUGGGUCGCGGCGCUGGGUCGAUACAUUCGUUUCUUACAGCUAUCGGUCGCGCCGGCGGGUCGGAUCAGGGGGACUUCGUUCUGGCGAUGAGGUUGCUCCCGCAGCCGCCGGGCGAUCCAGCCGGUGGGAGUGUGCCCUUCUUCGGCAUCGGCGUGCCGAGCGGCUACGUUUUCUUCUCCGGCGGCCAGAACCAGAUCGCCAGUUCCGACGGGCUGGCGCCGGCACCGCCACAGUCUGCAAUGAGCCCAUGGUGCGUUGUUUGCAACAAUGCCGCGGGGGCGCUUUGGGACUGGCUGCCCAUCUGCAAGGCUUGCUACCACAGGGCUCGCUACAACAGGGAGUUCUACAGGGCUCGCAUGCAGAUCGGCAACGCCAGUGCGGCCCUGGCUCAGGCCCAGGCUCAGGCUCAGGCUCUGGCUCUGAAGGAUCGGGCUUAUCAGGCUAUGGCUCAGCAGGCUCUGGGUCAGAAGGCUCAGAAGGCUCAGGCUCAGGGUAUUGCCAUUGAUCAGCAGCGGCCAUUGAUCACGCUCUACCCCCGCCACGCCCCGCGACCAAGUGGAUGCCGUUAUUGCGGAUAUCGUUAUUGCGAGCAGACCACGUGCGAGACUUGCUGUAGAUUGAUGGAACUAUAA
Molecule: ribosomal RNA, 885 nt
Filed under: Triticum aestivum (bread wheat)
Lineage: Eukaryota; Viridiplantae; Streptophyta; Magnoliopsida; Poales; Poaceae
Description: partial small subunit ribosomal RNA
Source: RNAcentral